UAGUCUGGUUCAUGAAGGUUCUUAACUAGUGUGGAGUUUGAUAGCGAAAGGUUGUUGCUUCUCAAGCUAAAAUGCUUCGCAGAUGGCCUAAAUAUACCCAAUAUCACCAACAAACAAUUGCUUAAACAAUUAUGUAUGAAUGGUUAAGAAUGACAGAAGAAAGGGAAAUCAAGCUUAUCUCACAUAAGUGAGCUUCCCGGGUGCUCUAGCGGUCCCUCUGUGCCUCAUACUUUCUCAAUGCUCCACUCUCUUUCGUUUACUCUUCCA
This 267-nucleotide long non-coding RNA is filed under the name Carica papaya (papaya). RNAcentral's name for it is "long non-coding RNA (CPAP_LNC011579)". The record is from RNAcentral. Lineage: Eukaryota; Viridiplantae; Streptophyta; Magnoliopsida; Brassicales; Caricaceae.